Felis catus (domestic cat) is the source of this 1298-nucleotide long non-coding RNA. RefSeq lists it as uncharacterized. The transcript has 5 exons. Lineage: Eukaryota; Metazoa; Chordata; Mammalia; Carnivora; Felidae. The record is from RefSeq and is a predicted model, not a curated record.
CCGGGUCGGCCGCCUGAGGCGAGGCCGCGAGUACGCACGCGCCUGAGCCGGGUCUUCCUACCUCCGCCUACACUAUCCCGGCGCCGCCUGCGCGGCGGGGGCGGGGCGAUUGACAUCACCGCCGCAACAGAGUACGCGGGCGGGGCGCGCGCACCUUUAACUAGAUGGUGCUCCCCCUCUAGCUCUAUCCCCUGGCCGCGAAACUGCGCAGAUUUGGCAGUCCAGGCCACCACCUCAAUCCCCGCCCCUUAGGCCAGGCCGGAGAAGUCUCCAGUCGCUGCGUCCACCAGCGUUGGGGAAAGAGGCGGGGCCAAAAGCGAAGGGAGACAUUGGGUCCAGGGAGCGGGGCGGUGGGUCCCAUGCCAGGAGGAAGUCCCCUUCUGAGCCAAGUGGCUGACUUUUGCGUUUUAACUGUUUUAUUGUUUAACGUGACAAACACUGAAACCUGCCUAAAGCAAAUAGAUUCCAAGGGGCUACAGAGCAACGAGUCUUGUGAAAUCCCGCCUGACCCCCCAAGCGUCCCCUUCGCAUCUUUUAGCCAGCCGCUGCGCUGACUUGGAUGCUUUUCCAGACACUAGAGAGCUUGCUGUGGUGACAAAGAAGAGCUUAUGUGAGCACACAGUGAUAUGGCAGCCUCCUACCAGCCAAGAGAAGAAGCCUAAGAAUGACAUCUACUUUGCCAGCACCUUUAUCUUGGACUUCCCAGUCUCCAGAACUGUGAGAACCCACCCGAAUACCUCAGGAUAAUUUCCCCAUUUCAAGAUCUUUAAUUACAAUUGCAAAGAUUCCAUGGCAACGGAUGCAGCAGAUCCAGAACCACGACUUCCGCCCGAAGUGGAGGAGCAGGACGUCAGCGCGCUGCCGGUGUCCUGCGCUGGGGAGAGCAGAUGAAGCGCCCCCGGCCGCCUGGAUUUAACGUGGAAUCUGCGACUCCCAAGCAGGGCAAGGAGGGAAAGGACAGGAGACUUCCACAACCCAGAAUUUCAUCCCUCUUCCUGCAGAAAGGAACCAGGGCUCCUGGGAGAAAUGAUUGAUUCCAAAACUAAACAGAGAAAGUCCCAGAGGGAGCUGUAAAUCUCUAGCCAGACACCAGAUCAAUGGCUUCCAGGGUGGAACAGAAAUGGAUGCAGACUGUACAAAGGAAGUUUUAAGGUGAAGGAUAACGUUCUAAACCUGAUUGUGGUGGUGUGCCUGGCUGGCUCACUUGGUGGAGAAUGUGACUCUUGAUCUCAGGGUUCUGAGUUCACGCUGCACGGUGGGUGUACAGAUUACUUAAAAAGAAAAAACUUGGAGUGCUU